This 235-nucleotide ribosomal RNA is filed under the name uncultured bacterium. RNAcentral describes it as "partial 16S ribosomal RNA". It matches the Rfam family "Bacterial small subunit ribosomal RNA", at positions 118 to 353 of the family's 1533-position model. The record is from RNAcentral.
UGAGCAAUCUGCCCUUCUCUUCGGAAUAAGCGUGGGAAACCGCGUCUAAUGCCGAAUACGACCUCCUUUCGCAUGAUCGGAGGUGGAAAGCUCCGGCGGAGAAGGAUGAGCUCGCGGCCUAUCAGCUAGUUGGUGUGGGUAAUGGCCCACAAGGCGACGACGGGUAGCCGGCCUGAGAGGGUGACCGGCCACACUGGGACUGAGACACGGCCCAGACUCCGUACGGGAGGCAGCG